This 2860-nucleotide ribosomal RNA is filed under the name Bacillus inaquosorum. RNAcentral describes it as "23S ribosomal RNA". It matches the Rfam family "Bacterial large subunit ribosomal RNA". Lineage: Bacteria; Bacillati; Bacillota; Bacilli; Caryophanales; Bacillaceae. The record is from RNAcentral.
GGUUAAGUUAGAAAGGGCGCACGGUGGAUGCCUUGGCACUAGGAGCCGAUGAAGGACGGGACGAACACCGAUAUGCUUCGGGGAGCUGUAAGCAAGCUUUGAUCCGGAGAUUUCCGAAUGGGGAAACCCACCACUCGUAAUGGAGUGGUAUCCAUAUCUGAAUUCAUAGGAUAUGAGAAGGCAGACCCGGGGAACUGAAACAUCUAAGUACCCGGAGGAAGAGAAAGCAAAUGCGAUUCCCUGAGUAGCGGCGAGCGAAACGGGAUUAGCCCAAACCAAGAGGCUUGCCUCUUGGGGUUGUAGGACACUCUGUACGGAGUUACAAAAGAACGAGGUAGAUGAAGAGGUCUGGAAAGGCCCGCCAUAGGAGGUAACAGCCCUGUAGUCAAAACUUCGUUCUCUCCUGAGUGGAUCCUGAGUACGGCGGAACACGUGAAAUUCCGUCGGAAUCCGGGAGGACCAUCUCCCAAGGCUAAAUACUCCCUAGUGACCGAUAGUGAACCAGUACCGUGAGGGAAAGGUGAAAAGCACCCCGGAAGGGGAGUGAAAGAGAUCCUGAAACCGUGUGCCUACAAGUAGUCAGAGCCCGUUAACGGGUGAUGGCGUGCCUUUUGUAGAAUGAACCGGCGAGUUACGAUCCCGUGCAAGGUUAAGCAGAAGAUGCGGAGCCGCAGCGAAAGCGAGUCUGAAUAGGGCGCAUGAGUACGUGGUCGUAGACCCGAAACCAGGUGAUCUACCCAUGUCCAGGGUGAAGUUCAGGUAACACUGAAUGGAGGCCCGAACCCACGCACGUUGAAAAGUGCGGGGAUGAGGUGUGGGUAGGGGUGAAAUGCCAAUCGAACCUGGAGAUAGCUGGUUCUCUCCGAAAUAGCUUUAGGGCUAGCCUCAAGGUAAGAGUCUUGGAGGUAGAGCACUGAUUGGACUAGGGGCCCCUACCGGGUUACCGAAUUCAGUCAAACUCCGAAUGCCAAUGACUUAUCCUUGGGAGUCAGACUGCGAGUGAUAAGAUCCGUAGUCGAAAGGGAAACAGCCCAGACCGCCAGCUAAGGUCCCAAAGUAUACGUUAAGUGGAAAAGGAUGUGGAGUUGCUUAGACAACCAGGAUGUUGGCUUAGAAGCAGCCACCAUUUAAAGAGUGCGUAAUAGCUCACUGGUCGAGUGACUCUGCGCCGAAAAUGUACCGGGGCUAAACGUAUCACCGAAGCUGCGGACUGUUCUUCGAACAGUGGUAGGAGAGCGUUCUAAGGGCUGUGAAGCCAGACCGGAAGGACUGGUGGAGCGCUUAGAAGUGAGAAUGCCGGUAUGAGUAGCGAAAGAGGGGUGAGAAUCCCCUCCACCGAAUGCCUAAGGUUUCCUGAGGAAGGCUCGUCCGCUCAGGGUUAGUCGGGACCUAAGCCGAGGCCGAAAGGCGUAGGCGAUGGACAACAGGUUGAUAUUCCUGUACCACCUCCUCACCAUUUGAGNNNNNNNNNNNNNNNNNNNNNNNNAAGGCUGAGCUGUGAUGGCGAGCGAAAUAUAGUAGCGAAGUUCCUGAUUCCACACUGCCAAGAAAAGCCUCUAGCGAGGUGAGAGGUGCCCGUACCGCAAACCGACACAGGUAGGCGAGGAGAGAAUCCUAAGGUGAUCGAGAGAACUCUCGUUAAGGAACUCGGCAAAAUGACCCCGUAACUUCGGGAGAAGGGGUGCUCUGUUAGGGUGCAAGCCCGAGAGAGCCGCAGUGAAUAGGCCCAGGCGACUGUUUAGCAAAAACACAGGUCUCUGCGAAGCCGUAAGGCGAAGUAUAGGGGCUGACGCCUGCCCGGUGCUGGAAGGUUAAGAGGAGCGCUUAGCGUAAGCGAAGGUGCGAAUUGAAGCCCCAGUAAACGGCGGCCGUAACUAUAACGGUCCUAAGGUAGCGAAAUUCCUUGUCGGGUAAGUUCCGACCCGCACGAAAGGCGCAACGAUCUGGGCACUGUCUCAACGAGAGACUCGGUGAAAUUAUAGUACCUGUGAAGAUGCAGGUUACCCGCGACAGGACGGAAAGACCCCGUGGAGCUUUACUGCAGCCUGAUAUUGAAUGUUGGUACAGCUUGUACAGGAUAGGUAGGAGCCUUGGAAACCGGAGCGCCAGCUUCGGUGGAGGCAUCGGUGGGAUACUACCCUGGCUGUAUUGACCUUCUAACCCGCCGCCCUUAUCGGGCGGGGAGACAGUGUCAGGUGGGCAGUUUGACUGGGGCGGUCGCCUCCUAAAAGGUAACGGAGGCGCCCAAAGGUUCCCUCAGAAUGGUUGGAAAUCAUUCGCAGAGUGUAAAGGCACAAGGGAGCUUGACUGCGAGACCUACAAGUCGAGCAGGGACGAAAGUCGGGCUUAGUGAUCCGGUGGUUCCGCAUGGAAGGGCCAUCGCUCAACGGAUAAAAGCUACCCCGGGGAUAACAGGCUUAUCUCCCCCAAGAGUCCACAUCGACGGGGAGGUUUGGCACCUCGAUGUCGGCUCAUCGCAUCCUGGGGCUGUAGUCGGUCCCAAGGGUUGGGCUGUUCGCCCAUUAAAGCGGUACGCGAGCUGGGUUCAGAACGUCGUGAGACAGUUCGGUCCCUAUCCGUCGCGGGCGCAGGAAAUUUGAGAGGAGCUGUCCUUAGUACGAGAGGACCGGGAUGGACGCACCGCUGGUGUACCAGUUGUUCUGCCAAGGGCAUCGCUGGGUAGCUAUGUGCGGACGGGAUAAGUGCUGAAAGCAUCUAAGCAUGAAGCCCCCCUCAAGAUGAGAUUUCCCAUUCCGCAAGGAAGUAAGAUCCCUGAAAGAUGAUCAGGUUGAUAGGUCUGAGGUGGAAGUGUGGCGACACAUGGAGCUGACAGAUACUAAUCGAUCGAGGACUUAACCAC